AAGAUGGCACAACUAGUUUUGUGCCUCUCAACGUCGUCAGGAAUGCCGAAUGAUUCAUUCAACACUUGAAUGAUAUCUUCCGGCUACGUAUUCUCAACACGCCUACUAAACUCAUCACUCAUUGCUGCCAACAUGAUGCAUCGAAUAGUGAUCCGGUCACUGAGCCACUUCUGAUAAGUGUCUCUGGCCGAUCUUGAUGCA
RNAcentral lists this long non-coding RNA (201 nucleotides) under Phoenix dactylifera (date palm). RNAcentral describes it as "long non-coding RNA (PDAC_LNC013694)". Lineage: Eukaryota; Viridiplantae; Streptophyta; Magnoliopsida; Arecales; Arecaceae. The record is from RNAcentral.